AAAUCCUUUAACUCCAGUCCUGUGAGACUAAGAAGGAGCAUACACGUAAGCAUCACUUGUUGACGUUAUCUAUUUAGGUAAUAUCAACAAGUAAUGUUGGAUGCCCUCUUACCUAAUAGGUGAGAGGGCAUUUUUCAA
This is a non-coding RNA of Carnobacterium iners, 138 nucleotides long. NCBI's taxonomy places the organism in Bacteria, Bacillati, Bacillota, Bacilli, Lactobacillales, Carnobacteriaceae. The record is from Rfam.